This 42-nucleotide transfer RNA is filed under the name Cleomella sparsifolia. Its description in RNAcentral is "partial tRNA-His". Lineage: Eukaryota; Viridiplantae; Streptophyta; Magnoliopsida; Brassicales; Cleomaceae. The record is from RNAcentral.
AGGGGCGGAUGUAGCCAAGUGGAUUAAGGCAGUGGAUUGUGA